GAACUCUCAAGCUUUGCUUGGUGUUGGGCGUUUGUCCUUCUAGGACUCGCCUCAAAAUAAUUGGCAGCCAGUGUAUUAGUCUUGGAGCGCAGCACAAUUUGCGAAUCCAGCUAGUAAAUUGGCAACCAUCAAGCCUUAUUUCAAC
Molecule: unclassified non-coding RNA, 145 nt
Filed under: uncultured Ascomycota
Lineage: Eukaryota; Fungi; Ascomycota
Description: sequence contains ITS2
Source: RNAcentral